AACGCUGUGAUGAGGUUACCCUAAUGUUGUUUGGCAGUGGUGGAUUUGUUUCCAUGAGCCUUCACAAAAAACGACUUCUUCUUCCACUGAGCGUU
Non-coding RNA from Picea glauca (white spruce), 95 nucleotides. The record is from Rfam. NCBI's taxonomy places the organism in Eukaryota, Viridiplantae, Streptophyta, Pinopsida, Pinales, Pinaceae.